AUGAGAUUUAAUAGAAAUGCUACAGCUCUCCGCCCUGGAAUUUUCGCCAUACGAUAUGUGCUCAAAGCAAUGAGAAAUCCUCACGAAGAAGCUAAAACCCAGCAAAAUACUGACGAAGACCCUGCUGAAGAGCAUGCAAUCCAGCAAGCUCCUAUCAAAGGACACAAAGACGGUGAUAUUGACAGCACACAAACACAAAGCAUGUCUCCUCAUUCAUCAGAAAAGGACACAGAACAGAACAUGAGGAACAAACCACCUACUGCAGAAAUGGUAACUUACACCAGGCUCAACAGGAUUAAACACCUAGCAACAAGCAAAAAAAAGAGAAAAUUAGAUAUCAGCACUGUUUUUACUCCUGAAGCAAAAAGGCAAAAGAAAAAGGACAAUGCUGAAAACAUCGUCGACACUGGUACCUUGCAGCAUCAGCCAUUACCUCUAAUGGUACUCCCGCCAACAGAACCAACCGGCACUAAGAAACAAGUUGAACGCAAGAAGAAAAACAAACGACAAAGGGUAGAAAAAGAACAAGACGAUACCAACAACAAAGGUUCAGAUACCAAUGAUGACGACGAUGACAGACAGCAUGAUGCAGAUUUCAUUCCUACAGACGGUGAUGAUGCCGAAGAGCACGACAGCGAUAUAGAACAUGACGAUGAUCCCAAAUCAGGCAAGAAGGACAGAAAGAGAAGAAAGACAAGCGGGAAACAACUGGUAGCACCAACAGUUGACGAAGAACAGCAAGAAACAGACGAAGAGAAAUGCCAAAUCAAGGUAGGGGCAGCAUUCGCCCAUGUCAAGAAAGCAUGGAAUUUACUUAAAGACCGUCACAAGAAAGAUAUUAGGACGGCAGGAUUUGGCAGCAUAGAGAACUGCAAAAUAACAGGCUCCAUCUACAGACCGCUUGCAGCACACAUCUACGACAACCUCAACACAGAAACCAUGACAAUAACCUUCGGUGAUGCUACUGAAGACAAAAAAAUCAAGAUUACCAAGGAAGCUACCCACAAGGUGUUUGGAUACCCAAACGGCAUGCAAAGGUCAGCACCAAGGCCAGACACUAGCCCAGCUUCAAUGAAAGAACUGAUGUCAGACCUUGGCUUCAAAGAUACAAAAUUCGCGCCAAAACAACUGUUCGAGAAGCUACAAAUAUUGGUGGAAAUAGAUGACGAAGAAUCAAACAGGAAAUCAGUUAAAAUAUUUUUCCUUAUUUUUUUCCACAAUGUUGUCUGCGGGUUAAGCGCCGCUAUCUUCGCCCGGACAGCUAUGAUGGUCAAGGACAUGGACUAUCCAGAAAUGGCAAAGAUGGAUUUCUGCGAGGUAAUCAUCGAAUGUAUUAGGGAAGGAGCCAAGACAUGGCAGAAGCACAGGAUGUUGCCUCAGGAAAAAAAGAACAAAAAGCACGUCAAUGGUUUGGCACAGGUACCAGUAAUCAUGUACCUUGACUCCCUACUGCUGCCAACCGACACAAAAGAAAUGCGGAAGAUUGCGAAGACAAUGGACAAAACCUCAUUACCACAAGCAAACCAUCUCAAAGAGAGUGACCUAGCGAAAAUAGCUAGAGCAGACAUGAAAACAAACAGAAAAGCACGACCAGAUGACUAUGAAUUUGGCAAGAUGCAGAUAGCAGGAGAAAAUCGUAAAGAACAGCAACACCAGCACACAACCAAACUGCUACCACCUCCACCCAAGCACCGGCACGAACCACGUAUCGGCACCAGUGGAAGCACGGAACCAAACAAAAAGAUCAGCACAGGACCAGACGAAAGAUUCCAAAGGAUAAACAAAUUGUUGGAAAAAGUGCUCCAUGAAGCAGAACAGUUACCCGCAGUAACCACCAGGGCUAAACACCGAUGCAACGAAAAAGAAGAGAUAUUGGAUGAAAAAAACAAGGACAAAGUCGUGCAACAAACAAUUGCCCUGAUGGAUUCUCUAGAACAACUUAGACAAUUUCAAGACAUAGUUUGCACAAGGUACCUCACCGAUAACGCGACCCUGCAGACGCUAGAGCAAGCAGUUCCAGCAGCAUCAAGUAGACUAGUCGAUGCCAACCGCACGAAUGAAAUAGUAGCCACAACAGAACAAAGAGAAAGGAGAAAAAGUAAUAAAGAAGAAGAGGACGAAGAGAGAAAGAUAAGAACAAAAUCAAGGGACGUGGGCAUUGACAAGAAGAAGAUAAAGCGGCAAAAACAGGAUGGCGUCAACAACCCCAAAAACAAAGCAACCUCACAACAGGCAGUGCUACAACAACAACUACCCCAACACAAGCACAAGAUACGAUCGACGUCAGAACCAGUGAAGAGGCUCAGCUGGAGAACAAUCAAGUCAGCAGUCCCAUCAACCAAAUGUAAGAGGCUGACCCACAAUCAACCGUUAGCAUAA
RNAcentral lists this ribosomal RNA (2379 nucleotides) under Triticum aestivum (bread wheat). RNAcentral describes it as "partial small subunit ribosomal RNA". Lineage: Eukaryota; Viridiplantae; Streptophyta; Magnoliopsida; Poales; Poaceae. The record is from RNAcentral.